This 500-nucleotide ribosomal RNA is filed under the name uncultured bacterium. RNAcentral describes it as "partial 16S ribosomal RNA". It matches the Rfam family "Bacterial small subunit ribosomal RNA", at positions 29 to 523 of the family's 1533-position model. The record is from RNAcentral.
AUUGAACGCUGGCGGCAUGCCUUACACAUGCAAGUCGAACGGCAGCACGGGAGUAAUCCUGGUGGCGAGUGGCGAACGGGUGAGCAAUAUAUCGGAACGUGCCCAGUCGUGGGGGAUAACGCAGCGAAAGCUGUGCUAAUACCGCAUACGAUCUAAGGAUGAAGGCGGGGGAUCGCAAGACCUCGCGCGAUUGGAGCGGCCGAUAUCAGAUUAGCUAGUUGGUGGGGUAAAGGCCCACCAAGGCGACGAUCUGUAGCUGGUCUGAGAGGACGACCAGGAACACUGGAACGGAGACCCGGUGCAGACACCGACGGGAGGCAGCAGUGGGGAAUUUUGGACAAUGGGCGCAAGCCUGAUCCAGCAAUGCCGCGUGCAGGAUGAAGGCGUUCGGGUUGUAAACUGCUUUUGUACGGAACGAAACGGCCCUUUCUAAUACAGGGGGCUAAUGACGGUACCGUAAGAAUAAGCACCGGCUAACUACGUGCCAGCAGCCGCAGUAA